RNAcentral lists this ribosomal RNA (856 nucleotides) under Steinernema abbasi. Its description in RNAcentral is "eukaryotic LSU rRNA". The stretch from base 306 to 459 matches the Rfam family "5.8S ribosomal RNA". The record is from RNAcentral. Lineage: Eukaryota; Metazoa; Nematoda; Chromadorea; Rhabditida; Steinernematidae.
CUUUGGGCAGUAUUUGCUCUCUGUUUCGCUAGACAUCAAAAAGCUUAACAAUUUAAUUUAUACUGGUUUGUGCUUAUUCUGUAGAGCUCUCAGGAAUUGGUGCUUACUGUGAAACGGCAUUCAGAGGUUUCGAGAGGCGUUUGGAGCAGUUGUAUGUGCGUGGCUGUAAUGAUAGACGUUUGACAUUGCUUUUUUAAAGCGAUGAGAAUUAAAGUAGCUGGCUUGGCUCGCCACUAUUUAUCCAUAUUGUUUAACGUUUGUUAUGUGUUGUUACACCAGUUGCAGGUGUAUUGAUUAAUAUAAACAAGUCUUACCGGUGGAUCACUUGGUUCGUAGAUCGAUGAAAAACGGGGCUAGAACCGUUAUGUAGCGUGAAUUGCAGACAUAUUGAGCGCUAAAAUUUUGAACGCAAAUGGCACUAACAGGUUUAUAUCUGUUAGUACACUUAAUUGAGGGUUGAUUAACUUGUUACUUGCAGUCAGCUGUGACUGUUUUUUCGAAUAGCUAAGUGCUUUUUGCAUUUACCUAUUUGGCAUGAUUGCUACGAUAGUACAAUGAACUUUUCUGUUCUUAAGUUUCUUGACGAAUUGUUCGCUAUCUUAUCGACUCUUUGCAAAGUAUUAGUUUUUGUUUGGCGUGUUUCUUGCCGACUGACUUAUACACUUUCCGUGUAUGUAGACUGUUUUGUCAUGUCAGUUAAAAACUUUUACUAAAUUCAACGCGUUUGUUGAUUAGUGUUGCUUUUUGCUAAGAUGUUUUUGUUAUCGAUUUUUGCUAUUACAACCUCAAUUUUAAGUGAGAUUUACCCGCUGAAACUUAAGCAUUAUCAGUAAGCGGAGGAAAAGAAAACUUAAAA